GCUAUACAUGCAAGUCGAACGAACUCUGGUUAAUGAUUGAAGGUGCUUGCACCUGAUUGAUUUAACAUUUGAGUGAGUGGCGAACUGGUGAGUAACACGUAGGAAACCUGCCCAGAAGCGGGGGAUAACACCUGGAAACAGAUGCUAAUACCGCAUAACAACUCGGACCGCAUGGUCUGAGCUUGAAAGAUGGCUUCGGCUAUCACUUUUGGAUGGCCCUGCGGCGUAUUAGCUAGAUGGUGAGGUAAAGGCUCACCAUGGCAAUGAUACGUAGCCGACCUGAGAGGGUAAUCGGCCACAUUGGGACUGAGACACGGCCCAAACUCCUACGGGAGGCAGCAGUAGGGAAUCUUCCACAAUGGACGAAAGUCUGAUGGAGCAACGCCGCGUGAGUGAAGAAGGGUUUCGGCUCGUAAAACUCUGUUGUUAGAGAAGAACAUAUCUGAGAGUAACUGUUCAGGUAUUGACGGUAUCUAACCAGAAAGCCACGGCUAACUACGUGCCAGCAGCCGCGGUAAUACGUAGGUGGCAAGCGUUGUCCGGAUUUAUUGGGCGUAAAGCGAGCGCAGGCGGUUUUUUAAGUCUGAUGUGAAAGCCUUCGGCUUAACCGGAGAAGUGCAUCGGAAACUGGGAAACUUGAGUGCAGAAGAGGACAGUGGAACUCCAUGUGUAGCGGUGAAAUGCGUAGAUAUAUGGAAGACACCAGUGGCGAA
RNAcentral lists this ribosomal RNA (713 nucleotides) under uncultured bacterium. Its description in RNAcentral is "bacterial SSU rRNA". It matches the Rfam family "Bacterial small subunit ribosomal RNA", at positions 48 to 719 of the family's 1533-position model. The record is from RNAcentral.